GACGAACGCUGGCGGCGUGCUUAACACAUGCAAGUCGAGCGAGAAAGCUCCUUCGGGAGCGAGUACAGCGGCGAACGGGUGAGUAACACGUGGGCAACCUGCCCAAGGGAGCGGGACGAACCCGGGGAAACCCGGGCUAAUACCGCAUGAUGCGUCAUGUCUCAAGGCGUGACGCCAAAAGGUAGCUUCGGCCUCCGCCCUUGGAUGGGCCCGCGGCGCAUUAGCUUGUUGGUGGGAACGCCUACCAAGCGACGAUGCGUAGCUGGUCUGAGAGGACGAUCAGCCACACUGGGACUGAGACACGGCCCAGACUCCUACGGGAGGCAGCAGUGGGAAUCUUGCGCAAUGGGCGAAAGCCUGACGCAGCAACGCCGCGUGAGGGAAGAAGGC
Molecule: ribosomal RNA, 390 nt
Filed under: uncultured bacterium
Lineage: Bacteria
Description: bacterial SSU rRNA
Rfam family: Bacterial small subunit ribosomal RNA
Source: RNAcentral